AGCUUUGCGCAGUGGCAGUAUCGUAGCCAAUGAGGUUUAUCCAAGGCAUGAUUAUUGCUAAUUGAUAAUUAUG
RNAcentral lists this small nuclear RNA (73 nucleotides) under Erinaceus europaeus (western European hedgehog). RNAcentral's name for it is "U4 spliceosomal RNA". It matches the Rfam family "U4 spliceosomal RNA", at positions 1 to 73 of the family's 138-position model. From Rfam's summary of the family: U4 small nuclear RNA (U4 snRNA) is a component of the major U2-dependent spliceosome. The structure of U4 snRNA from yeast and human has been reported. Lineage: Eukaryota; Metazoa; Chordata; Mammalia; Eulipotyphla; Erinaceidae. The record is from Rfam by way of RNAcentral.